AGACCCGAAACCCGGUGAUCUAGCCAUGGGCAGGUUGAAGGUUGGGUAACACUAACUGGAGGACCGAACCGACUAAUGUUGAAAAAUUAGCGGAUGACCUGUGGCUGGGGGUGAAAGGCCAAUCAAACCGGGAGAUAGCUGGUUCUCCCCGAAAGCUAUUUAGGUAGCGCCUCGUGAAUUCAUCUCCGGGGGUAGAGCACUGUUUCGGCUAGGGGGCCAUCCCGGCUUACCAACCCGAUGCAAACUGCGAAUACCGGAGAAUGUUAUCACGGGAGACACACGGCGGGUGCUAACGUCCGUCGUGAAGAGGGAAACAACCCAGACCGCCAGCUAAGGUCCCAAAGUCAUGGUUAAGUGGGAAACGAUGUGGGAAGGCCCAGACAGCCAGGAUGUUGGCUUAGAAGCAGCCAUCAUUUAAAGAAAGCGUAAUAGCUCACUGGUCGAGUCGGCCUGCGCGGAAGAUGUAACGGGGCUAAACCAUGCACCGAAGCUGCGGCAGCGACGCUUAUGCGUUGUUGGGUAGGGGAGCGUUCUGUAAGCCUGUGAAGGUGGCCUGUGAGGGUUGCUGGAGGUAUCAGAAGUGCGAAUGCUGACAUAAGUAACGAUAAAGCGGGUGAAAAGCCCGCUCGCCGGAAGACCAAGGGUUCCUGUCCAACGUUAAUCGGGGCAGGGUGAGUCGACCCCUAAGGCGAGGCCGAAAGGCGUAGUCGAUGGGAAACGGGUUAAUAUUCCCGUACUUGGUGUUACUGCGAAGGGGGGACGGAGAAGGCUAUGUUGGCCGGGCGACGGUUGUCCCGGUUUAAGCGUGUAGGUGUGUGUUCCAGGUAAAUCCGGUUCACUUUAACACUGAGGCGUGAUGACGAGGCACUACGGUGCUGAAGCAACAAAUGCCCUGCUUCCAGGAAAAGCCUCUAAGCAUCAGGUAACAUCAAAUCGUACCCCAAACCGACACAGGUGGUCAGGUAGAGAAUACCAAGGCGCUUGAGAGAACUCGGGUGAAGGAACUAGGCAAAAUGGUGCCGUAACUUCGGGAGAAGGCACGCUGACACGUAGGUGAAGUGAUUUACUCAUGGAGCUGAAGUCAGUCGAAGAUACCAGCUGGCUGCAACUGUUUAUUAAAAACACAGCACUGUGCAAACACGAAAGUGGACGUAUACGGUGUGACGCCUGCCCGGUGCCGGAAGGUUAAUUGAUGGGGUCAGCGCAAGCGAAGCUCCUGAUCGAAGCCCCGGUAAACGGCGGCCGUAACUAUAACGGUCCUAAGGUAGCGAAAUUCCUUGUCGGGUAAGUUCCGACCUGCACGAAUGGCGUAAUGAUGGCCAGGCUGUCUCCACCCGAGACUCAGUGAAAUUGAACUCGCUGUGAAGAUGCAGUGUACCCGCGGCAAGACGGAAAGACCCCGUGAACCUUUACUAUAGCUUGACACUGAACAUUGAGCCUUGAUGUGUAGGAUAGGUGGGAGGCUUUGAAGUGUGGACGCCAGUCUGCAUGGAGCCGACCUUGAAAUACCACCCUUUAAUGUUU
Molecule: ribosomal RNA, 1524 nt
Filed under: Salmonella enterica
Lineage: Bacteria; Pseudomonadati; Pseudomonadota; Gammaproteobacteria; Enterobacterales; Enterobacteriaceae
Description: partial 23S ribosomal RNA
Rfam family: Bacterial large subunit ribosomal RNA
Source: RNAcentral